Molecule: ribosomal RNA, 28 nt
Filed under: fungal sp. 1.10.4G
Lineage: Eukaryota; Fungi
Description: partial 28S ribosomal RNA
Source: RNAcentral
UUGACCUCGGAUCAGGUUCGUUCUAGGG